Molecule: ribosomal RNA, 447 nt
Filed under: uncultured bacterium
Lineage: Bacteria
Description: partial 16S ribosomal RNA
Rfam family: Bacterial small subunit ribosomal RNA
Source: RNAcentral
CCAGACUCCUACGGGAGGCAGCAGUGGGGAAUAUUGCACAAUGGGGGAAACCCUGAUGCAGCGACGCCGCGUGAAGGAUGAAGUAUUUCGGUAUGUAAACUUCUAUCAGCAGGGAAGAAAAUGACGGUACCUGACUAAGAAGCCCCGGCUAACUACGUGCCAGCAGCCGCGGUAAUACGUAGGGGGCAAGCGUUAUCCGGAUUUACUGGGUGUAAAGGGAGCGUAGACGGCAUGGCAAGUCUGAUGUGAAAGCCCGGGGCCCAACCCCGGGACUGCUCUGGAAACUGCGGCGCUGGAGUACGGGAGGGGCAGGCGGAAUUCCUGGUGUAGCGGUGAAAUGCGUAGAUAUCAGGAGGAACACCGGCGGCGAAGGCGGCCUGCUGGACCGUGACUGACGUUGAGGCUCGAAAGCGUGGGGGGCGAACAGGAUUAGAUACCCGGGUAUAC